UAUACACAUUUUUUGUAAAUAUUACUAAAAUUGGGUAAAAAAGAUGUCAGAUGCAAUGAAUGUUCCUACCAGGAAUUCGUAUAUUUUACUUCAUACCAUUAGUAAGUUUGUUUUUAUUGUCAUACCUAACAACUGUGAUGUGAGCACUUUGCAAUCGCCAUUUGCAAAGCCAUUUGGAGACGAAGCGAUUUGGAGUUACCCUUAAAAUUAUAUGCAGUACAAUCAUUCAUAUAACAUAAAUAAAUCGGAGAUAAGUAUUCGUUUUUUUUACAUCAUUACAUCAGUCACCUCGGUCGGGAAACUAUUUUCAUAUUCCCGCCAAGGAUAAACAUAAGUUAUAUUCUAUACAUUACAACACUAUUGACCUUUUUCCUUGUCUUUACAGCUGGCAUGAUCCCAGACUCGUAAUACUUGCUAUCCGAAUACCAUCCGAGCUAUGGGAUUGAAGGUAACGGCGAGUUUGUCGCUAAGAUUGGAAUCUUUCUUCAACACAUCAUCGACCGUAAAAAAAUUAAGGGACACGAGAGAACAAAAUACGGAUGAAACGUGCUAAUUCUACCGUCACUCUGCUAAUCAGCUGCUAGUCAGCUGAUGCAAAUCAGAGCAAUGCAGCAGGAAGAGGAACGGGAACUUGCUCGGGAACUUGCUUUGGAAAUGCUCAUGAAAUUGAGGUGGUUGAGGCUGCGAUUAAAAUUUGCCUCUUGUACGCAGUUUAUAGAAUGAUUCCAACGAGAAUUAUUGAUGUUGUUUAUAGAAUGAGUUAUUAGUAUAAUGUAUUCUAAGUAUGUAGAAUUAAACGCAAUCAAAUACAUUUUUUUUUAAAUUAAAA
Molecule: long non-coding RNA, 829 nt
Organism: Toxorhynchites rutilus septentrionalis
Lineage: Eukaryota; Metazoa; Arthropoda; Insecta; Diptera; Culicidae
Exons: 3
Source: RefSeq, a predicted model, not a curated record